UCUCGCCUCCUCAUCUUUGCUAUGUGUGAGAGCAGCGGCGAGAUCGGCGGGAGUGGGGAUGUUCUCUGGUUCACGAUCGAUGGUCGCAGAUGGCGGAAGCUAGGGUGGAUAUUGCACACCAUAUGUUUCCAAUGGGGAGAGAACCCUGGCAAGUGGAAUUCUACCUGAAAUCUCUAACCAUACAACUAGACGUAUGCUCCUUGUAAGUACCUUAGACUGCCCAAUCUGUCUCAUUUUUAUUUGUCCUUCAGGUAUAGCAUUUACCAUGCUAGUGCUUGCUCUUUUCUCAUUGCUAAAUUUUGAUCUUUUAAAAAGCAUUCUCAGUUUACUUCCUUAUAUUACAAGUCCUACUUCCAAUAAUGGUUCAAUUUUUGCACUAUAUCUAGUGUAUUUCUAGGGCCAAUUGGCUAUUUGUUUUAGUAUUAGGUAGGGUUUUUAAUACCAUUCCGUACCAUCCGAUAUAGGCAGUACAUGCUGGUCUGCCAGCUGAUCGGCACAUGGACCGCUCGCUAUCGGGCGGUAUCAAGUAUUUGGUUGUGGCGAGGAAGAAGAGGGAGAAGCAUCGAGAAAGAGGACUACAGAGUCAUCGAUGCGCCAUUACUAGCGUCUUGAUGAACUUGAGCCCGUCGAACUUUGACGCUAACUUAUCUUCUACACCCUUUCUUGAUCUUGAUCCGAUGUCGCUCUCCCUCGAUGAUCUCAAUCCAAGAUGUAACAGUGAGCCGUACCUCUUUAGAAGAGGAGUUGGAGGUGCGGGGAUCGGGGGAGGCGAUGGUGAAAGUAGCAAAAGAGGCGACGAAGACCUCGACCUUCAUCACUGAACGGUCUCUUUCGUCCAUUGUCAUCGCACGGAGAACCUUUCGAUGUCAUCUUUCUUCUCCCCACCUCCUUGACGUCGAAGGCUGUAGUCAAGGUGACGAGGAGAAGAAGGAUGAGACGAUGACGACGAGGCUAAAAUUGAUUUUUAUAUUUUUUUCUAGGUAUAUCACUUGGUACCACGUAUCUUAUCGUAUCAAGCAAGGCAAUAAUAUGAAAUUAAAAACCUUGAUAUUAGGGAUAUUAAUUAUCUCCAGUUUUUGCUUUUAAAUUCCUAUGCAAGUUUAGUUUCCUACACCAAACGUCCAAAAAAUCAAGGCAGCCGGGUAGGAUGAUAUGCAAUUUGUGCAUGAUAAAUUGUCCUACUCACGGAAGCAUCCAAUGCUCCAUGUACAACACGAUAUGCUGCUUCUCGCCGAGCACGUGUCCAAUGGUAAGACAAUGUGACCGGGGUAUAAACGAACCAAGUGCCGUUGGAGACUAGUUUUUGUGGUCUGCUCAGGUGUGGGAGGAACUGGAUUACCUGUUGUUGGGUUAUAUGCUUGUGUCUAACUCGAACUACUCCAGAUUCGCAUCUCCUUGAGCUCUCAGAUGGGGGUGUUCGGGGAGCAACUUGGAGGUCUCGGAACAUAUAAAUUUAACUAGGAUGAGGCGGAGAAGAUUAUAACAGCACAUCG
Molecule: long non-coding RNA, 1493 nt
Organism: Musa acuminata AAA Group (dessert banana)
Lineage: Eukaryota; Viridiplantae; Streptophyta; Magnoliopsida; Zingiberales; Musaceae
Exons: 3
Source: RefSeq, a predicted model, not a curated record